ACGUACAUCACGUGGCGGGAACGGCUGUUUUUCUAGAGAACAAUUUAGAACACCAACUUUGUUACGUAUGCACAGCUACUCUUUUAUACAUAUAUAAAAUACUAGCUGUUGCAGCUCCGCCCGCGGUAGUCUAUAUUUGACAUCGGACCAUCAACUAUAUCUAUACCAAAUUUUAUCAAAAUCGAACCAGCGGUAUAGCCGUAAAAGCGUGACAGACUUUCGUGUUUAUAAUGUUUCUAUUUUGAUAUGUAGGGAAACCGGGGCAGUAAGAAGUCCGGGGCAAGACGGGAAGUGUGGUUUUGUGCAUGGCUAGUAAACACAACAGAGUCGAACGCAGCGCCAGUUGCGCGUAGAGCAAGGGCCUCACAUGAGUCCGCGCAGCGCGUUCGUGUCAGUUCGUAUUUCGCUGUGCGGCAAACAAAAAUUAAAAUGAUAUGUAAUUACAAACGUAAAACAGAUCGUGGAACGAAAAAUUAUGAGAAGAGCAGUUAGAGCUGUGCUUUUUGAGACAAUGGGAUUCCUUCGGACAGCGACAGCGACAAAUGGCGUGCCUAAAUGAACCUUGGAACGACGGGUAAGAAUGGCUCGAAGUAAUCAAGAUGCUGAAACUGAUUCAGUUAAUGACUAUGGCAAAAGGAAUUAGGACGGUACAAAACAGUUUUUAAUGAGGAACAGGAAGAAGAGUUAUCACGAUAUGUAAAAUCAAUGGAAGCACGUCUAUUUGCUCACUCACUCAACUCAAAAAUCACUGGAAAAACUUCCCAUUUUAGCUUUCCAGUUAGCUUAGCGCAAUCAUAUUGAAAUCUAAGAUUGAUAACCAAAAAAUAAACAAACAAAAGACUGAAAAAAAAAGAAACUUGCAAAGAAAAAGACUGGAAAGAAAAGAUCAGUCAAACAUAAUAAAAACAAAAAACGCAAAAAAGCAAGUGAUGCCGAUACUAGUUCGUCUGAAGUCGAUGAAAAUGAUUGUGCUUGCAUAAAUUGUGGGUACCUUUAUUCAAAAUCUACUGAGGGAUGGAUUAUUUAUGCUCUAUGCCAAGGCUGGGCCCAUAAUUCCUGCGCAGGUAAACGAGGAAGACGAAGAGGCUCACAUAUGUGAACAUUUCCAAUCAGAUUAAAAUGUGUACUCGUUAUGCCCCAUGGCGUUUCCCAUUUUUCCCCGAUCAAAGGGCAAUACGGAUUUUUUAAAUUAUUCUAUUUAGUUCCUAUUUGCCUAAAAAAUAUGUGAUUUAGCGCCGUAAAAGAUUAUAAUUAUGUUAAUUAGAAGUAUAAUUGUUAUUUUCAUUGUAAAAGAUUAUUUUUAGUAAACCGUUUGAUUUUCAUAUUA
Plodia interpunctella (Indianmeal moth) is the source of this 1327-nucleotide long non-coding RNA. RefSeq lists it as uncharacterized. The record is from RefSeq and is a predicted model, not a curated record. The transcript is spliced from 2 exons. Lineage: Eukaryota; Metazoa; Arthropoda; Insecta; Lepidoptera; Pyralidae.